UGACGCACUUCAUACGUGCUUUUCAUAACAUAGAAAGGCUGCUUAAUUCCAUUACAAUAGCAAAUGCAAACAGGUAGUCCACUGUUUGCUUAUUGACACCAAAACACAGGAGCUAAGAGUGCAGCUUAUUCAAUUCAUCCGACUAGUUUUUCUUCGCGAACUGAGCCUGAAGCCAGUCGAUGGUCUUCUUGUCCACUUGGAAAGCCUUGGCGAGGAUUUCAUCCGAGAUGGGGGGAUUCGACCCGAACACAGCAUCGGCGAUGGUGAUGGUGCCAGGGUUUUGGCUGCUGAGAGCACCGAUGGCGAAGGUGUUGGUGUGCCCAGGGUUGAACUGGAAGUGGAUGAGGCCUUGGGGGAACACAAACACAUCACCCUUCUUCAGCAUCUUGGUGAAGAGACGGUUGCCGUCGUCGCUGUUGGAUGUGACGAAGCCGACCAAGAGCUGUCCCUCUAUGACGGUGAGGAUCUCGGUGGCACGGGGGUGAGUGUGGGGCGGGUUGAGGCCAUUGGGGAUGUAGUCGAUGCGAACCAUGGAGAUGCCGAGGGUGUUGAGCCCUGGAAUCUGGAUCACGUUGGCAGGCGUGACAUUGAACCCGAAAUUGUUCUUUCCUGUAUCGCCGGGCAUGUCGAGGCCAGAAAGAGAGAAGUCGUCGGCUUUCACAACCAUGGGGUCCUUGCAGACGAAUCCAUUCACCCGCACUGCAACAGCAGAAGGAAGAAGCAAACUCGGUCGGUAAACAUGCAUCAGGAGAACAAACGCACCGAAGGAAAUUAAUCUGGAUACUAUGAAUACCUUUAGACAUCAUAUCUGCGACACAGAAGUCUUGAAGUUGGCUAGGAUCGGAAGCCAUUGCAAGAGAGGAAGCCAUGGCGAGGAGAACAAGGAGAAACAUUUCGGCGGCCAUCUGUAAUCUCUUAGAUGGAUGGGAUUACCUGGUGCCGUGAUACAGUGGCCUGGAAGAGACGGGUAUAUAUAGAGAAGCAGGCUCUGAAACAUUCAUGAUCAUUAGGUGAAGGAGAUGAAAAGUAUACCAUGUUAGGUUGCUUUCUUCUUGCAAUAUAUUUUCUAUAGCCGUCACCUCGUACGAGAUCCAUAUGAUGCACAGUAACCAUUAAAUUUGUUGACGUGUCUCAGUAACCUAAUCCAUGACCAUUUUAUAUGUAUAUAUAUAAUGAUGGAGCUUUUAGUUAGAUCAUGCUGUAGUGUAAAAUGGACUCUUACGUUCGACUGCAUAAUCCACCACGUGAGAUUUUUGUGACGACCUUACGCUACCAAACAAGAGGAGAAGUCAGCAAAGAUGUGGCAGCUGAACAGAACAAGCUAAGGACAGGUAGAAAGAACAAGAAGCCAAAGAUGUGAUUACCAAUUUGACCUUGUCGGGUCUUGUGUACUGCUACGGCUGAUACCGUGUAUUAUAAUUAAGGUGUUCUACGUCAUCUCCGACUAUUUUCAUCACACUGAGACGUCGCGUGCAUGUUGCAAAGAAGUAUGUAAAUACGUAAGUUCUUAAGAGAUUAUAAGUUGAUAUAAUGCUGUCCAAGAAUAGUAAGCAUGUUGAUAGUUGCCUCUACGUUAAACGCUUAUGGGAUCCUAAGUUAUUAAGAGAUCAUAAGAGAUUUUAAAAAUACUAAAUCUUCGUAUAUAGGUAUACAAGAAUAUUGUACGAUUUAGAUAAAAUCAAUUAUAUUCGUGAUAAAAAUCAAUGAGGUUAGGUGAGAUAAAAUAUUUUUUUUAAUUAAAUAUCUAAAGUAAAAUUAACAUAUCAACAUUACAUUGUUCACAUAAAAUUUAUAAUCAUAUUAUCUAUAAUACGAAAAAAAAAUUAUGUCAAAAUUUAAAAUCAAAUAAUAAUGGAUCUAAAUAAUAUUACGAUGCAUACCUUUCGUUGUUAUUUAGAAGAAUAAAUAUUAUCUGAUCUACAGGCGUAUCAUCGUCGGAUCUAAAUGAAAUACUUCUAUUUAGCCCUUAAGAUCAUAUCUAUUUAUAAACAAAAACAAAGAGUCUAAGAUAAGAUAUUAGAAGAAUUCCUCCCAUAAGGAUAUCCUUGGAAUCCUACUAUAAUAUGAAUUUUUUUUUUAUUAAUCAAUAAUCAUAAUCAGAAUUCAAUCAUAUCUAUAAUAUAUUUUACCUAAUUAAAUAUGACCACACAAUCUAACACUCAAUCAUAAAUCCACGAAUCAUAAAUCCAUAAAAAACCAGAAUUUUUGAACUCAUUUCAACCGAGUUCCCAAAAAGUUUAUUAAGUAAAUAAGAUAUUAUUAUGAAUACAAAACAUUUUAAAGUUUUAUAGAUGAUAAUUCUUUUCUAGAAGGUUCUGCCAGCGAGGAUGAAUAAAAAAAAAAGAAAAAUAUCGAUAUAAUAUUUGUAAUUUAUAUAAAUAUAAACAUUUUUCGUCCAUCCAACUCAGCGACCUCUCUGGCAAUCAGAAAGAUUUCAAUAACGAUCAAACAAAGGCUAAUCGAUUAUUUCAGUCAUCAGAUUUUGGUGGCAACGACAUGUUACCAAACACCAUAAAGAAGCUCUCAAAGUCCGACCACGAGACAAGACAAAGUUGCCAGUACGAAUCCGUCUCCGUUCUUCGACCUCGUUCCAUACUGUAUAUUACGAUCGAAGUGAACUGUGUCAUCUUCAACUAUUUCACCAUCACACUGUUUAUAUAUUAUUAUGGUCUAUUUGUGAUCACAACAUAAGAGUUCAAAUUCAUAAUUAUAUUUCAUUUUAGUAAAUGAAUAAAUUGGAGUGAUUGAUACCGCCGGUUAUAGGUGGAUGCAAUCGAGCCAUAUACUACUACUGAACUUUGUAGAUCCCAUGUCAUACAAGUCAAGACAAAAGCACUCCUUUCGGGAAUUCUUGGUGAUGACUUGUUGAAGUUAUGAUCGUGUAUACAAUAUCUCAUGUUUCAGUCAUAAUAUUUGCAUAAAUUGACUUAUUACCGGUAUAUUUUAGUAAAGUUGUCUGCAUAGAUAUAUAAAGUUCAUGAACCUGAGGGAGGAUAAACAUAAGGUGGAUAAAGAAGUAUGCAUAUAUAUAUAUAAUAUGAGAUAUUACACUUUUUGAGGAUGCUGCACUCCAUAUAAUCUAUAAUCUUCCAGGUGGGAAAUACUAUCAUAUGAUCUAAAUAUUGAAAUAUGACUCAUGGAUUUCUUUCUUAAAAAUCAAGUUUUAUUUAUUAUAUUUAAUGACGUGUUUAUAUGAAAUUUGCAACAGUACACCAAUCGUAUGUCAAUAGAGAUGACUCGAGAAUUCUGAAACAUGACACACUUCAUACGUACUUUUCAUAACAUAGAAAGGUCUCUUAAUUCCAUUACAAUAGCAAACGCAAACAGGUAGUCCACUGUUUGCUUAUUCACACCAAAACACACGAGCUAAGAGUGCAGCUUAAUUCAUUCCUCCGACUAGUUUUUCUUCGCGAACUGAGCCUGAAGCCAGUCGACAAGCUUCUUGUCCACUUGGAAAGCCUUGGCGAGGAUUUCAUCCGAGAUGGGGGGAUUCGCCCCGAACACAGCAUCGGCGAUUGUGAUGGUGCCGGGGUUUUGGCUACUGAGAGCACCGAUGGCGAAGGUGUUGGUGUACCCAGGGUUGAACUGGAAGUGGAUGAGGCCUUGAGGGAACACAAACACAUCACCCUUCUUCAGCAUCUUGGUGAAGAGGCGGUUGUCGGUGUUGGAUGUGACGAAGCCGACUAAGAGCUGUCCCUCUAUGACGGUGAGGAUCUCGGUGGCACGGGGGUGAGUGUGGGGCGGGUUGAGGCCUUUGGGGAUGUAGUCGAUGCGAAC
Molecule: long non-coding RNA, 3777 nt
Filed under: Musa acuminata (dwarf banana)
Lineage: Eukaryota; Viridiplantae; Streptophyta; Magnoliopsida; Zingiberales; Musaceae
Description: long non-coding RNA (MACU_LNC002928)
Source: RNAcentral